RNAcentral lists this microRNA (23 nucleotides) under Brachionus plicatilis. RNAcentral's name for it is "Bpl-Mir-750_3p (mature (guide))". RNAcentral also lists the same sequence under 1 other name. Lineage: Eukaryota; Metazoa; Rotifera; Eurotatoria; Ploima; Brachionidae. The record is from RNAcentral.
UCAGAUCUAACUCUUUUGGCAUU